AUUGCCCUGCGCCCCGAGCGGUCCCACCGCCCGGCAAAACACUGAGCAAGCCGCUGCGCUCACCUUGCUUGACACACUUGAGCCGGAGGGGGUCCUUGCAGUGUUUGAUCACGGCCAGCACGUCCCUGAUGGUGAGCCCCGCCACGGGGGUCUCGUUCACCUCCAGCAGCAGCUCCUCCGACACCAACUUACUGCCGCUCUCAUAGGCCACCUUUCCGGGCUUCACCUCCCCCAGCAGAGGAAGCGGUGGUGGUGGCGUCGGCGGCGGCGGCGGCGGCAGCCGGAGCUAGCAGUAACCGAGCUGUAAAUUCUGUUACAGUAACAGAAUGUAGGAGAGCACAUAUCAAUGAAGAAAAGACAAAAUAUACUUAUCCAUGAAACUGAGGUUAGGAAACCAGUGUCUUCAAGAGCUGGGGACAGCUCUUCAUAAACACUGGGUCUAUGCAGACUUGAGAGAUGGUGAUGACAUGCCUAUAGCACAGCUGAUGAAAGAGAAGCCAUCUUGCUGCUAUUUGAUAAACAUGAAGAUAAAAGCUUUCCUUUAGAGAUGGUGGAGCAAAAAGAUAAAAGGGGCCUAGACUCCCUACCUUCACACUUUCUGCUAUGAAAGCAUUGCUAUUAUUAUAAGGUUAAUCUGCCAAAACAGACUUCCAUGUCAUAUGCUUAAAUGCAUCAAAAUUCAUACAAUAUACACUAAAUUGGUAAAAGUAUCCAUUUUAAAGGAUUAAUCUGAGGGACCCACAGACACUUAACAUAAUCAAUCAACUCUCAGAAAAAAAAAUCAGUUAUUUCAUUGUGAUUUUGAAGCUGAUCCUUUAUGAUCUUUUAGUUAUCAAACUGUUAAAUACAUUUUAACUUUCAAAUUUUAUGAAUAAAGGAGAUGAAUCCUGUCAUUUUCUCAGUG
Long non-coding RNA from Rhinopithecus roxellana (golden snub-nosed monkey), 904 nucleotides. RefSeq lists it as uncharacterized. NCBI's taxonomy places the organism in Eukaryota, Metazoa, Chordata, Mammalia, Primates, Cercopithecidae. The transcript is spliced from 4 exons. The record is from RefSeq and is a predicted model, not a curated record.